Molecule: ribosomal RNA, 449 nt
Filed under: uncultured bacterium
Lineage: Bacteria
Description: bacterial SSU rRNA
Rfam family: Bacterial small subunit ribosomal RNA
Source: RNAcentral
UCCCAGACUCCUACGGGAGGCAGCAGUCGGGAAUAUUGCGCAAUGGAGGAAACUCUGACGCAGUGACGCCGCGUAUAGGAAGAAGGUUUUCGGAUUGUAAACUAUUGUCGUUAGGGAAGAUACAAGACAGUACCUAAGGAGGAAGCCCCGGCUAACUACGUGCCAGCAGCCGCGGUAAUACGUAGGGGGCAAGCGUUAUCCGGAUUUACUGGGUGUAAAGGGGGCGCAGACGGCGAUGCAAGCCAGGAGUGAAAGCCCGGGGCCCAACCCCGGGACUGCUCUUGGAACUGCGCGGCUGGAGUGCAGGAGGGGCAGGCGGAAUUCCUGGUGCAGCGGUGAAAUGCGUAGAUAUCAGGAGGAACACCGGCGGCGAAGGCGGCCUGCUGGACCGCGACUGACGUUGAGGCUCGAAAGCGUGGGGAGCGAACAGGAUUAGAUACCCGCGUAGC